UACGGAGGAUUCAAGCGUUAUCCGGAUUUAUUGGGUUUAAAGGGUGCGUAGGCGGUCGGAUAAGUUAGAGGUGAAAUCUCGGGGCUCAACUCCGAAAUUGCCUCUAAUACUGUAGGACUAGAGAGUAGUUGCGGUAGGCGGAAUGUAUGGUGUAGCGGUGAAAUGCUUAGAGAUCAUACAGAACACCGAUUGCGAAGGCAGCUUACCAAGCUACUUCUGACGUUGAGGCACGAAAGCGCGGGGAUCGAACAGG
Molecule: ribosomal RNA, 253 nt
Filed under: uncultured Rikenellaceae bacterium
Lineage: Bacteria; Pseudomonadati; Bacteroidota; Bacteroidia; Bacteroidales; Rikenellaceae
Description: partial 16S ribosomal RNA
Rfam family: Bacterial small subunit ribosomal RNA
Source: RNAcentral